RNAcentral lists this ribosomal RNA (935 nucleotides) under uncultured bacterium. Its description in RNAcentral is "bacterial SSU rRNA". It matches the Rfam family "Bacterial small subunit ribosomal RNA", at positions 8 to 956 of the family's 1533-position model. The record is from RNAcentral.
AGAGUUUGAUCAUGGCUCAGGACGAACGCUGGCGGCGUGCUUAACACAUGCAAGUCGAACGGAAAGGCCCUUUCGGGGGUGCUCGAGUGGCGAACGGGUGAGUAACACGUGGGUGAUCUGCCCUGCACUUUGGGAUAAGCCUGGGAAACUGGGUCUAAUACCGGAUAGGACUACGCGAUGCAUGUCGUGUGGUGGAAAGCUUUUGCGGUGUGGGAUGGGCCCGCGGCCUAUCAGCUUGUUGGUGGGGUGAUGGCCUACCAAGGCGACGACGGGUAGCCGGCCUGAGAGGGUGUCCGGCCACACUGGGACUGAGAUACGGCCCAGACUCCUACGGGAGGCAGCAGUGGGGAAUAUUGCACAAUGGGCGCAAGCCUGAUGCAGCGACGCCGCGUGAGGGAUGACGGCCUUCGGGUUGUAAACCUCUUUCAGCACAGACGAAGCGCAAGUGACGGUAUGUGCAGAAGAAGCACCGGCCAACUACGUGCCAGCAGCCGCGGUAAUACGUAGGGUGCGAGCGUUGUCCGGAAUUACUGGGCGUAAAGAGCUCGUAGGUGGUUUGUCGCGUUGUUCGUGAAAACCGGGGGCUUAACCCUCGGCGUGCGGGCGAUACGGGCAGACUGGAGUACUGCAGGGGAGACUGGAAUUCCUGGUGUAGCGGUGGAAUGCGCAGAUAUCAGGAGGAACACCGGUGGCGAAGGCGGGUCUCUGGGCAGUAACUGACGCUGAGGAGCGAAAGCGUAGGGAGCGAACAGGAUUAGAUACCCUGGUAGUCCACGCCGUAAACGGUGGGUACUAGGUGUGGGUUUCCUUCCUUGGGAUCCGUGCCGUAGCUAACGCAUUAAGUACCCCGCCUGGGGAGUACGGCCGCAAGGCUAAAACUCAAAGGAAUUGACGGGGGCCCGCACAAGCGGCGGAGCAUGUGGAUUAAUUCGAUG